CAGUGCAUUGAAGAGUUCGUUCUAAGCAUAUUUUGUUUCUCCUUCAUCCUCUCUUUCUCCCUAUCUUGAUAUGUAACAAGUGAUGAGUCCUACCAUCAUAUGUUGGUGUUAUUAUGCUUGUGUAUACUUGUAUAUGGAGUUAGGUUUAGCCAUGAAGUUGUGAUGCCUUUGAGCUCCAUUACCAUCUAAGUCAGCUUGAUGUGUAUGGAACUGUACAGUGUCAUACAUUACUUUUAUAUUAGUUGCACUGAUUCAAGAUGAUUUUCCAAUUGCUUGUGCUGGGAUUAUGCCAGGGAAUACCCAUUCCUGCUAGCUAUAGGAGGCUCCAAGGGAAGAUUGGAAGUAUGGGACACCUUAUCUGAUGCUAGGGUCGCAAAAAAAUUUGGAAAGUAUAAUAAUCGUAAAGUGGCAUCCCCAGAAGAGCCUUGAUGAUGAAACUAGAGAGAGAAAUUUAUUUACUCAAUUUAUGCUGGUGGCUGGAGUCCUGAUAAUGAAACCAGAAGCUACUGGUCCUUAUCAGAAGCUACUGCAACCAAGGCUCUUCCGAUGCAACUAUAAAACAAGGCUAGCUAUUUAACAAGGUUAAACUGGAUGUCUCCUUUCUGCUUUCUGGUUCCUUUCCUAUCAUGAAAUCUAGAAGGUUUUGGUUCUCUGUCUAGUUUUUUAUGCUUGUAGUCGAGUAUUGUGGCUAUUGUAUAUAAUUGAAUAUGAUCAAUUUUGAGGAGGUUAAUGGAUAAAUUCAGAGAAUUGUAUGUCAUGA
This is a long non-coding RNA of Macadamia integrifolia, 760 nucleotides long. RefSeq lists it as uncharacterized. The record is from RefSeq and is a predicted model, not a curated record. Lineage: Eukaryota; Viridiplantae; Streptophyta; Magnoliopsida; Proteales; Proteaceae. The transcript has 2 exons.